AUUGAACGCUGGCUGCAGGCUUAACACAUGCAAGUCGAACGAGUGGCGGACGGGUGCGUAAUGUCUGGGAAACUGCCUGAUGGAGGGGGAUAACUACUGUAAACGGUAGCUAAUACCGCAUACCAUCGGAUUUGCCCAGAUGGGAUUAGCUCGUCGGUGGGGUAAUGGCUCACCUAGGCGACGCUCCCUAGCUGGUCUGAGAGGAUGACCAGCCACACUGGAACUGAGACACGGUCCAGACUCCUACGGUAGGCAGAAGUGGGGAAUAUUGCACAAUGGGCGCAAGCCUGAUGCAGCCAUGCCGAGUGUGUGAAGAAGGCCUUCGGGUUGUAAAGGACUUUCAGCGGGGAGGCGUUACCCGCAGAAGAAGCACCGGCUAACUCCGUGCUAGCAGCCGCGGUAAUAC
RNAcentral lists this ribosomal RNA (406 nucleotides) under uncultured bacterium. RNAcentral's name for it is "partial 16S ribosomal RNA". It matches the Rfam family "Bacterial small subunit ribosomal RNA", at positions 30 to 526 of the family's 1533-position model. The record is from RNAcentral.